UUUAGAUGGCGACCGGCGCACGGGUGAGUAACACGUAUCCAACCUGCGAUGACUCGGGAUAGCCUUUCGAAAGAAAGAUUAAUACCCGAUGGCAUAGUUCUUCCGCAUGGUAGAACUAUUAAAGAAUUUCGGUCAUCGAUGGGGAUGCGUUCCAUUAGGUUGUUGGCGGGGUAACGGCCCACCAAGCCUUCGAUGGAUAGGGGUUCUGAGAGGAAGGUCCCCCACAUUGGAACUGAGACACGGUCCAA
Molecule: ribosomal RNA, 248 nt
Filed under: uncultured bacterium
Lineage: Bacteria
Description: partial 16S ribosomal RNA
Rfam family: Bacterial small subunit ribosomal RNA
Source: RNAcentral